AUCGCUUCUCGGCCUUUUGGCUAAGAUCAAGUGUAGUAUCUGUUCUUAUCAGUUUAAUAUCUGAUACGUCCCCCAUCGGGGACUACAUAUUAAAUGGAUUUUUCGAACAGGGAGUCGGAAAUGGGGCUUGCUCCGUCCGCUCCACGCAUCGACCCGGUAUUGCAGUACCUCCGGGAACGGUGCAACACUU
Oncorhynchus mykiss (rainbow trout) is the source of this 190-nucleotide small nuclear RNA. Its record names the gene U2. It matches the Rfam family "U2 spliceosomal RNA". From Rfam's summary of the family: U2 is a small nuclear RNA (snRNA) component of the spliceosome (involved in pre-mRNA splicing). Complementary binding between U2 snRNA (in an area lying towards the 5' end but 3' to hairpin I) and the branchpoint sequence (BPS) of the intron results the bulging out of an unpaired adenosine, on the BPS, which initiates a nucleophilic attack at the intronic 5' splice site, thus starting the first of two transesterification reactions that mediate splicing. The record is from Ensembl. Lineage: Eukaryota; Metazoa; Chordata; Actinopteri; Salmoniformes; Salmonidae.